UCAGUAAUUUAAGGACAUUAUUUUAGCAUCUUUACAGUGCUGAACAUUGAGGUCGUCUGCUGAAAAUGUGCAGCUAAACAAUACACCCAUAUGCUGUGACUCUGCACCAGGAACAAGUCUUCCAGAAUUUGUAUUUAACAAAGUCCAUUUCACUAUUGUGAUAUCAUGGAAAAAAAUUCAAUAAGAGUCUGGUACUGAGAAUACUGGCCUUGGCUUUAUU
Molecule: non-coding RNA, 220 nt
Organism: Biomphalaria pfeifferi
Lineage: Eukaryota; Metazoa; Mollusca; Gastropoda; Planorbidae
Source: the annotation of a GenBank genome assembly